Molecule: ribosomal RNA, 460 nt
Filed under: uncultured bacterium
Lineage: Bacteria
Description: partial 16S ribosomal RNA
Rfam family: Bacterial small subunit ribosomal RNA
Source: RNAcentral
CCUACGGGAGGCAGCAGUGAGGAAUAUUGGUCAAUGGGCGCAAGCCUGAACCAGCCAAGUAGCGUGAAGGAUGAAUGCCCUACGGGUUGUAACCUUCUUUUAUAAAGGAAUAAAGUCAGGCACGUGUGCCUUUUUGUAUGUACUUUAUGAAUAAGGAUCGGCUAACUCCGUGCCAGCAGCCGCGGUAAUACGGAGGAUGCGAGCGUUAUCCGGAUUUAUUGGGUUUAAAGGGAGCGUAGAUGGGUCGUUAAGUCAGUUGUGAAAGUUUGCGGCUCAACCGUAGAAGUGCAAUUGAUACUGGCAGACUUGAGUACAGGUGAGGUAGGCGGAAUUCGUGGUGUAGCGGUGAAAUGCGUAGAUAUCACGAAGAACUCCGAUUGCGAAGGCAGCUUACUAGACUGCCACUGACAUUGAUGCUCGAAAGUGUGGGUAUCAAACAGGAUUAGAUACCCGAGUAGUC